RNAcentral lists this ribosomal RNA (459 nucleotides) under uncultured bacterium. RNAcentral describes it as "partial 16S ribosomal RNA". It matches the Rfam family "Bacterial small subunit ribosomal RNA", at positions 338 to 795 of the family's 1533-position model. The record is from RNAcentral.
CCUACGGGAGGCAGCAGUGAGGAAUAUUGGUCAAUGGACGGAAGUCUGAACCAGCCAUGCCGCGUGCAGGAAGACGGCUCUAUGAGUUGUAAACUGCUUUUGUACAGGGUAAACCUGAAUACGUGUAUUCAGCUGAAAGUACUGUACGAAUAAGGAUCGGCUAACUCCGUGACAGCAGCCGCGGUCAUACGGAGGAUCCAAGCGUUAUCCGGAUUUAUUGGGUUUAACGGGUGCGUAGGCGGAUUGAUAAGUUAGAGGUGAAAUGUCCGAGCUUAACUCGGGAACUGCCUCUAAUACUGUUGAGCUAGAGAGUAGAUGCGGUAGGCGGAAUGUAUGGUGUAGCGGUGAAAUGCUUAGAGAUCAUACAGAACACCGAUUGCGAAGGCAGCUUACCAAUCUAUAUCUGACGUUGAGGCACGAAAGCGUGGGGAGCAAACAGGAUUAGAUACCCUAGUAGUC